AGCGAACGCUGGCGGCAGGCCUAACACAUGCGAGUCGAACGAACCUUUCGGGGUUAGUGGCGGACGGGUGAGUAACACGUGGGAACGUGCCUUUAGGUUCGGAAUAACUCAGGGAGACUUGUGCUAAUACCGAAUGUGCCCUUCGGGGGAAAGAUUUAUCGCCUUUAGAGCGGCCCGCGUCUGAUUAGCUAGUUGGUUGAGGUAAUGGCUCACCAAGGCGACGAUCAGUAGCUGGUCUGAGAGGAUGAUCAGCCACAUUGGGACUGAGACACGGCCCAAACUCCUACGGGAGGCAGCAGUGGGGAAUCUUGCGCAAUGGGCGAAAGCCUGACGCAGCCAUGCCGCGUGAAUGAUGAAGGUCUUAGGAUUGUAAAAUUCUUUCACCGGGGACGAUAAUGACGGUACCCGGAGAAGAAGCCCCGGCUAACUUCGUG
RNAcentral lists this ribosomal RNA (434 nucleotides) under uncultured bacterium. RNAcentral describes it as "partial 16S ribosomal RNA". It matches the Rfam family "Bacterial small subunit ribosomal RNA", at positions 29 to 507 of the family's 1533-position model. The record is from RNAcentral.